Molecule: ribosomal RNA, 301 nt
Filed under: uncultured bacterium
Lineage: Bacteria
Description: partial 16S ribosomal RNA
Rfam family: Bacterial small subunit ribosomal RNA
Source: RNAcentral
CAGUCGCCGCGGGAACACAGAGGGUGCGAGCGUUAAUCGGAUUUACUGGGCGUAAAGCGUGCGUAGGCGGCUUCUUAAGUCGGAUGUGAAAUCCCUGAGCUUAACUUAGGAAUUGCAUUCGAUACUGGGAAGCUAGAGUAUGGGAGAGGAUGGUAGAAUUCCAGGUGUAGCGGUGAAAUGCGUAGAGAUCUGGAGGAAUACCGAUGGCGAAGGCAGCCAUCUGGCCUAAUACUGACGCUGAGGUACGAAAGCAUGGGGAGCAAACAGGAUUAGAUACCCCUGUAGUCCCUGUCUCUUAUAC